CCUACGGGAGGCUGCAGUGAGGGAUAUUGGUCAAUGGGCUUACGCCUGAACCAGCCAAGUCGCGUGAGGGAAGACUGCCCUAUGGGUUGUAAACCUCUUUUGUCAGGGAGCAACGCCGGCUACGUGUAGCCGGACUGAGAGUACCUGAAGAAAAAGCAUCCGCUAACUCCGUGCCAGCAGCAGCGUUAAUACGGGGGAUGCGAGCGUUAUCCGGAUUUAUCGGGUUUAAAGGGUGCGUAGGCGGAAUGCCAAGUCAACGGUAAAAUCGCGGGGCUCAACCCGGCUCCGCCGUUGAAACUGGCGUGCUUGAGUGGGCGAGGAGCAGGCGGAAUGCGUGGUGUAGCGGUGAAAUGCAUAGAUAUCACGCAGAACACCGAUGGCGAAGGCAGCAUGCCGGCGCCCAACUGACGCUGAAGCACGAAAGCGUGGGGAGCGAACAGGAUUAGAUACCCGAGUAGUC
Molecule: ribosomal RNA, 460 nt
Filed under: uncultured bacterium
Lineage: Bacteria
Description: partial 16S ribosomal RNA
Rfam family: Bacterial small subunit ribosomal RNA
Source: RNAcentral